RNAcentral lists this signal recognition particle RNA (103 nucleotides) under [Eubacterium] cellulosolvens 6. Its description in RNAcentral is "Bacterial signal recognition particle RNA". It matches the Rfam family "Bacterial small signal recognition particle RNA". Rfam says of the family: The signal recognition particle (SRP) is a universally conserved ribonucleoprotein involved in the co-translational targeting of proteins to membranes. Archaeal SRP consists of a 7S RNA and homologues of the eukaryotic SRP19 and SRP54 proteins. Lineage: Bacteria; Bacillati; Bacillota; Clostridia; Eubacteriales; Eubacteriaceae. The record is from RNAcentral.
CGUAUGGGUCUUACGCAACGGAAAUCCUUGAACCGUGUCAGGGCAGGAAUGCAGCAGCACUAAGGGGAACCUUUCGUGUGCCGUAAGGAAGCCUGGACUGAGU